GUCCACGCCGUAAACGAUGAGUGCUAAGUGUUGGGGGGUUUCCGCCCCUCAGUGCUGCAGCUAACGCAUUAAGCACUCCGCCUGGGGAGUACGGUCGCAAGACUGAAACUCAAAGGAAUUGACGGGGGCCCGCACAAGCGGUGGAGCAUGUGGUUUAAUUCGAAGCAACGCGAAGAACCUUACCAGGUCUUGACAUCCCAUUGACCACUGUAGAGAUACAGUUUUCCCUUCGGGGACAACGGUGACAGGUGGUGCAUGGUUGUCGUCAGCUCGUGUCGUGAGAUGUUGGGUUAAGUCCCGCAACGAGCGCAACCCUUGAUCUUAGUUGCCAUCAUUUAGUUGGGCACUCUAAGGUGACUGCCGGUGACAAACCGGAGGAAGGUGGGGAUGACGUCAAAUCAUCAUGCCCCUUAUGACCUGGGCUACACACG
RNAcentral lists this ribosomal RNA (431 nucleotides) under unidentified low G+C gram-positive bacterium RS13. RNAcentral describes it as "bacterial SSU rRNA". It matches the Rfam family "Bacterial small subunit ribosomal RNA", at positions 793 to 1222 of the family's 1533-position model. The record is from RNAcentral. Lineage: Bacteria; Bacillati; Bacillota. RNAcentral also lists the same sequence under 1 other name.